This 720-nucleotide ribosomal RNA is filed under the name Acanthotomicus sp. 2 AIC-2013. Its description in RNAcentral is "eukaryotic LSU rRNA". It matches the Rfam family "Eukaryotic large subunit ribosomal RNA", at positions 411 to 887 of the family's 3401-position model. The record is from RNAcentral. Lineage: Eukaryota; Metazoa; Arthropoda; Insecta; Coleoptera; Curculionidae.
AGGGGUAAACCUGAGAAACCCGAAAGGUCGAAGGAAGAAAUUCAUUCGCGUUUCGAGGCGGGCGUCGAACGGUGCGAGCGACGAGACGUGGAUUUCUUCGCGUCACGCGCCCACCGUUCGUCAGGCCGGUCACGAACGCGUGCACUUUUCUUCUGGUAGGACGUCGCGAUCCGUCGGGCGUCAGUCUACGGCUCGUGGUGGAGCCCGCCCGUCGCCUCGUGCUGUACGGACGGACCCACGUGUCCCGGCUGACUCGCUCGACGGUAUAUCGUUUACGGUCGGGGGCCGCUCCAGCGAGCGUUCGACUCGCGGCAAGCGCGCCAGACGCGUCGGCGAUCGGACCUGGUGCCGAUUCCGACCUCUGGUGACUGUUGGCCGUCGAAGUUCUCGAACAGACCUCUUACGCCGAUCGGCGACGCUACAGCUUUGGGUACUUUCAGGACCCGUCUUGAAACACGGACCAAGGAGUCUAGCAUGUACGCGAGUCAUUGGGAUUUCACGAAACCUAAAGGCGCAAUGAAAGUGAAGGUCUUCCUCGCGAAGAUCGAGGGAAGACGGGCGGUUUCUUUUCGGAGGGCCGUCUCGCAUUCCCGGGGCGUCUCGUUCUCAUCGCGAGAAGAGGCGCACCAAGAGCGUACACGCUGGGACCCGAAAGAUGGUGAACUAUGCCUGGUCAGGACGAAGUCAGGGGAAACCCUGAUGGAGGUCCGUAGCGAUUCU